UGGGGUAAAAGCAAGAUUGCGGGGGUGUAUAAUAUAGGGGGGGAAUUCUCCGGGCGUAAAACAUGGAGAUGCUUUGUAAAAGGGGAGUCUGGGGUUAUGGAAAGGGGUUAUGUGAAUUCCCAGGGUAAAAGGUUAAAAUUUUAAUAUAUUUGGGGGGAGAACACAUUGGGAAAGGGGGGUUCACUGGGGGAGUAAAAUAAAAUUAAGGUUCGACAAGGUUUGGGGGGAAAUAAGGAUAAAAUUAGCUUGGUAAUGCAGCCCGUUAAAGAUGAAUUGUUGGGGUGGGGGAGAUAUAUUGUUUGGGGGGGGAGGUAAGGAAAUAAAAAAUACGGAUGGGGAGAACGGUGGGAAGAUUAAAAUUUUAAGGGAUUGAGGGGGGGGCGGAAAAAGGGUGGAGCAUGUGUUUAAUUUGGAGUAAGCGGAGAAACAGUAACAGGCCCUUGAAAUGCUGUUUUACCCGUAGAGAUAUGGGGUCACAUUCGGUGGUCGUAAAGACAGGUGCUGCAUGGGUGUAGUCAGCUCGGGUUGUGAGAUGUUGGGUUAAGUACAGGAUAAGAGGGGAAAAAUCGUCCUUAGUUGCCAGCAUUUAGUUGGGCACUCUAAGGGGACUGCCGGUGAUAAGNCGAGAGGAAGGUGGGGAUGACCUAAAGUUCUNAUGGGACUUACGGGCUGGGCUACACACGUGCUACAAUGGUGGUGAUAGUGGCCAAGGAGCACGCGAGUGUGAGCUAAUCUCCAAAAGCCAUCUCAGUUCGGAUUGCACUCUGCAACUCGAGUGCAUGAAGUUGGAAUUGUUAGUAAUAGAGGAUUAGUAUGAGGCCGUCGAUCUGUUAUUUUUUGUUUUACAAAAUGUAGUUUAAAAGAUGGGAGUUGUUUUAAGGUGAGUCUUGUUUCGAUACGAAGUGGUAGAGUGAUGUCNGUAUUUCAGUUGGUUCGUAAUAUAUGUCCCC
This 950-nucleotide ribosomal RNA is filed under the name uncultured Rhizobium sp. Its description in RNAcentral is "partial 16S ribosomal RNA". The stretch from base 335 to 847 matches the Rfam family "Bacterial small subunit ribosomal RNA", at positions 875 to 1387 of the family's 1533-position model. The record is from RNAcentral. Lineage: Bacteria; Pseudomonadati; Pseudomonadota; Alphaproteobacteria; Hyphomicrobiales; Rhizobiaceae.